This 466-nucleotide ribosomal RNA is filed under the name uncultured bacterium. RNAcentral's name for it is "partial 16S ribosomal RNA". It matches the Rfam family "Bacterial small subunit ribosomal RNA", at positions 28 to 507 of the family's 1533-position model. The record is from RNAcentral.
GAUGAACGCUGGCGGCGUGCUUAACACAUGCAAGUCGAACGAUGAAGCCCAGCUUGCUGGGUGGAUUAGUGGCGAACGGGUGAGUAACACGUGAGUAACCUGCCCUUAACUCUGGGAUAAGCCUGGGAAACUGGGUCUAAUACCGGAUAGGAGCGUCCACCGCAUGGUGGUUGUUGGAAAGAUUUAUCGGUUUUGGAUGGACUCGCGGCCUAUCAGCUUGUUGGUGAGGUAAUGGCUCACCAAGGCGACGACGGGUAGCCGGCCUGAGAGGGUGACCGGCCACACUGGGACUGAGACACGGCCCAGACUCCUACGGGAGGCAGCAGUGGGGAAUAUUGCACAAUGGGCGCAAGCCUGAUGCAGCGACGCCGCGUGAGGGAUGACGGCCUUCGGGUUGUAAACCUCUUUCAGUAGGGAAGAAGCGAAAGUGACGGUACCUGCAGAAGAAGCACCGGCUAACUACGUG